Molecule: ribosomal RNA, 422 nt
Filed under: uncultured Actinomadura sp.
Lineage: Bacteria; Bacillati; Actinomycetota; Actinomycetes; Streptosporangiales; Thermomonosporaceae
Description: bacterial SSU rRNA
Rfam family: Bacterial small subunit ribosomal RNA
Source: RNAcentral
UGGGGAAUAUUGCGCAAUGGGCGGAAGCCUGACGCAGCGACGCCGCGUGGGGGAUGACGGCCUUCGGGUUGUAAACCCCUUUCAGCAUCGACGAAGCUUCAUCCUUGCAGGGUGGGGUGACGGUAGGUGCAGAAGAAGCGCCGGCUAACUACGUGCCAGCAGCCGCGGUAAUACGUAGGGCGCGAGCGUUGUCCGGAAUUAUUGGGCGUAAAGAGCUCGUAGGCGGUCUGUCGCGUCUGUCGUGAAAGCCCACGGCUUAACUGUGGGUCUGCGGUGGAUACGGGCAGGCUAGAGGCAGGUAGGGGAGCAUGGAAUUCCCGGUGUAGCGGUGAAAUGCGCAGAUAUCGGGAGGAACACCGGUGGCGAAGGCGGUGCUCUGGGCCUGUUCUGACGCUGAGGAGCGAAAGCGUGGGGAGCGAACA